Molecule: long non-coding RNA, 2846 nt
Filed under: Marmota monax (woodchuck)
Lineage: Eukaryota; Metazoa; Chordata; Mammalia; Rodentia; Sciuridae
Source: RNAcentral
CAUCAGCAAACCCUUCAGCUAAUUGUCUUCAGCGGUCUCUUGAAAUUUAAGGGCUGUUACAACAGUAAUUUGUGCCUCUUAAAUAGUCAACUAUAAAUAGUGGGACAAACCGAGUGGGAAGCAGGAAGAACAGGGAAGGUGCUCGGAAUAGCAACUAACCUAGAAAGCGAGUCGAGUUGACGUUGAGCAGUUGCUGCUGAAGAAGAAGGAAAGGGUGAGACCCCCGGGUGCCUCUGCUCCUGCCCCUGCAGGACCCUCCGUGUCCCCCUGGCGGCCACAGCCAGGCCAACGUGGUGGGCACAGAGCGCCUUGAGCCCUCAAGACUUUCCACCUGGCUGGCCACGGGGCCCGGCCUGGCAGUGGGGAGCGUGGUCCUGGCCCUGGAGCCCUGUGGUCACCAUGUGGCCUUGUGCCCAACACCAAACAGUAGCAACUCAGAGACAGCCACGCAGGAGGGGACACCCCGAUGCAAGCUGAGGCGUCCUCCCCGGCCUCCACCUGUGCUGCUCACUGGUCAGCUCGUGCUUUCAUUCACGAGGUACCCACCUGCCCCUACGAGCGAGGCCCUGUCCUGGGAGGCCACACCUCAGGGAGGUGACUGUCCGCUUGAGGAUGGGUGCUGUGGUUCGUGGGCAGGGUGACUCUGCAGGUGUGGCCAGAGCAGUGCUGCCAGCAGCAGGUUCAUGAGGCGCCGGGUUCCCGGAGGCCAUCAGCGCAGCCCACCCAGAGGGAGCCUGAACCCGCCACGGGGAGCCCCAUCCCUGAGUGCCGCUGGUGGGCAGGAGGGUGGCUCCCAGCCCCUCCCGGCACCCUGCUACCUGGGAGGAGCACCCACCCCACCUCCUGCCCCCAGCAGGAGAGAGGGAGGGCUGGAGAACUGGAGGGCUGGCCCCAGGCAUCUUCCCGAGCCUCCAGAACACUCCCGGACUGAGCCAGGGCCAGGUCGUGGGCUUGCCCGGCUGCUGGGGCUCCCACUUCCCACCCGCCUCCUCGAUCCCUCCCUGUGGCUCCCUCUGGGCCCCUCUCCUGCGCACACCCCAUGUCCUCGGCUCCUGCCAGCCUCUUCCUCCUGGGGCCUCCCAGCGUUUGAAUCUCGCACACCCAUCCCUGGAGCCCUGACCUUGCACCUCCAGCAACCUGCCCCAAUCUCUGUGGCCUCCUCCUGGGGCUGGGCCGGGGGCCAGGGCCUUGCAUCUGGGUCCUGCCCCGCUGGCGGCCCCCACCUCUACCUGAGGUCCCAGCAGUCUCUGGGCAGUGCUGCCCUGGGGGCUGCCUCGCUCCCCUGCUCAGAGGAGAGGCCAAGGCUGUCAUGAGGGGCCUGCUCUGGGGUAUCCUGCCCCAGGACCCCCAGCCAUCCCCAGGGGACAGACUGGGGUGGCAGAGCAGGGCAUGGGACUCUUGCAGGGGCACAGGACACUUGUGCUUGGGGCUGUGUCCAAAGGUGGCAGGUGCUGAGCCCUCAGUACUGCCCUGCUGCCCUCUCUGCUCAGGAGGUCACCUCUACCACUUGACCCUCUCCUGUGAGAGCCGCAGCUGCUGCUGGUGGACCCCUCCCUUCUGCCGACCCUCACCCUCCUUGGACCCUGAGCAGCCUCUGUCCGUGUGGAGAGUCCAGGGCCUGGGGCACUUGCAGUGCAGUGAGUUCAUCCCAGGGACUGUUGCAGAGACCUGGGUGGGUGGUCAGCAGGGGCCCAGCCAGGGGACAGGCCACAUGGGUGGGGGAGGGUGUGCGAGGGAGCCCCAUCUGCUAUGGGCAGAGUGGCCCAGGAGACGGUCUGUGCACGCUGGCCCCGGCAGGUGCUGCCCUGGAGGUGAGGGGUGCUGCUGACCUGGGCUUGGCUCCCUCGGGGUCCACUGGAGAUGCAGCCCCCUGCUGCCUUCUGGUUGCAGGUGGCUGUGGGUUCGACACUGGAUGCCACUGUUUGCCGCCUGGGAUGGACAGGCUGGGUGGCAGGGUUUCAAGGAAGGACCACAGGAAGAAGUUGGCAGUGCCACGGCUACUCAGCCUCCCAGGGGGCAUGUGCGGGACUCUAGGCCACCUCGUCUGCCAUUGCUCCAGAUGACCUGUAAUACACCUGGGCAUUCGAGGCCACCUUGGGUGUGCAGGGCCAGCAGGCCCUCUAGGAGUGGGGCUGUCCCUUGCCUUGUCCCUGGAGGGCCCAGGAAACUGGACCGCUGUGUGUUUGCUGCGGCAGCGAUUCCACCCAGGCAGCUCCAGGGCUUCUCUGCUGACGCCUGGACUCAGACCUGGACUGACGCCCCCAGCAUGUCACAGACAGACUGACUCGACGGGGGCUGGGGGAGGCGCCAGGCAGGGGCCCAGGGCCAGGGCAGACUUCUGAGGAGUGGGCAAGAGCGCAGCGUGGCAGGCCUUUGCCUCGCAGCACAGUGCUCUACCCCUGAGCCCCAGCCCCAGCCCCGGGUUUCUUUUAAGGGAGGAGCGAGGUUGCCCUCCCUGAUCAGCUCAGCUGCCCUGGCCAGGGUCGGGGGAGGGGAGGAAGGGACGGAGCCCAGAGGAAGGUGUCCCCACUGAGGUCCCUGCCUCCCUCAGCUGGCUUGGGAUGCCCGGGAGGAGCCUGAGGCCCAUGGCUGGUGCAGGGCCAACCCUGUGCCCAGUGCUCUCCCUGUCCCCCGCCUCCCGGCAGGUUCUUGCAGUCACAUGUGCCUGAGCGUCAGGCUGGCAGGGCCAUGAUGUCCUCUGAGAAGGGAGGGGCCCGUCCGGGUCCUGGGUUGCCAACAUCAGAAUCCUCUCUGGCACAUUCAGCUGGAAAAGGAGUUUGAAAGGAUGGCAAGGAGUGUGCAGCCUUAUUAGGAACCAGAGAAACAGAUGGAAGCUUCCAAGAGCC